AGAGCUGUCACACGACCAUUCCCUGCGAAGAUGCUUUGACUCUGCAAACAAACUAAGUGUCCGCCGGUCAACGCUGGUCCUGUGGCACUACACAAAUGAUUACCUCCGCCAAGGUGUUUGUUACCUCCUGUGUUCGACAAUGGGACAAGAAGAAGAAAGCCCCACGACAGGUGGUGUUUGCCUCCCUGACUGUCCAACAUGGCCGCUGUUUGAUUGAAGCUAAAAAUGCUGCACGAUGAAUACACUGACCUCGAGCAGAUCGUUGACGUAUUAAAGAUCAAACUGUAUGGAGAUCAGACUUACUGUGAGCUGGUAGAUGUGCGACGGGCCCUCGGGGGCCGGGCCCUGGCUCCUGCAGCUCCAGCUCCAUGUAGUUGAGUUGCUUCUUCGAUGUGGGACUAACGGGAAUAUUCACAUAGGUCACACCUUCGCUGCAAGGCCGCUCUGGGAGAAGCGUCUCAGGGGGGAAAACGAACACUGUGCAAAAAAAUAACAAAUUGAGACAGUAGAAUUAUUGAGCUGGAAAUAGAAACGUUUAAAAAAAACAAUGUGGUUGCAUUCAGACGACUUUUCCCUCUGAUGGAUUUUUUUUUAAUGAUUUCAGAUGCUCAAGUAAUUUAGACAUGAAGAAUAUUGUCUUUCGAUUCUAAAAGCUUUUGUCAGCACAUAAUCACAAAGGGGAAAUUCUAAUGCACAGAAAACAUUAUCAAAUUGAAAAUGCAGCGAUUUC
Long non-coding RNA from Hippoglossus stenolepis (Pacific halibut), 730 nucleotides. RefSeq lists it as uncharacterized. The transcript has 3 exons. The record is from RefSeq and is a predicted model, not a curated record. NCBI's taxonomy places the organism in Eukaryota, Metazoa, Chordata, Actinopteri, Pleuronectiformes, Pleuronectidae.